This 301-nucleotide ribosomal RNA is filed under the name uncultured bacterium. RNAcentral describes it as "partial 16S ribosomal RNA". It matches the Rfam family "Bacterial small subunit ribosomal RNA", at positions 509 to 807 of the family's 1533-position model. The record is from RNAcentral.
CAGCCGCCACGGUAAUACGAACCGUGCGAACGUUAUUCGGAAUCACUGGGCUCAAAGCGCGUGUAGGCGGAUGGGAGCGUCGGCCUCUGAAAUCCCCCGGCUCAACCGGGGAAGUGGAGCCGAAACGACCCGUCUGGAGGGACGUAGGGGGGCCUGGAACCUCCGGUGGAGCGGUGAAAUGCGUUGAGAUCGGAAGGAACGCCCGUGGCGAAAGCGAGGUCCUGGACGUCUGCUGACGCUGAGACGCGAAAGCCAGGGGAGCGAACGGGAUUAGAUACCCGCGUAGUCCCUGUCUCUUAUU